AGACUUAUCCAGGAUGUUCGGAGGAAGUACUGUCGUAUUGGUGUGUGUGGCCCUGUUCUUGGUAGCCCCAAGUGAAGGAUCUUAUUCCAAUAAUGGAUGUGCCUGUGCUCAAUAUUGGGAUCCUGUGUGUGGUGUAGACGGACAUACGUACUCCAAUACUGGAUGCCUGGCAUGCGCUGGUGUUCCCAUGGCUUGUAAGGGAGAAUGCCCUUGCUACGGACGCUACUAAACAUAACAGAAACAACACUUUAAAGUAAUCUUACCCGUGACCUAAAUAUCUAGUG
This is a long non-coding RNA of Saccostrea cuccullata (small rock oyster), 284 nucleotides long. RefSeq lists it as uncharacterized. The record is from RefSeq and is a predicted model, not a curated record. Lineage: Eukaryota; Metazoa; Mollusca; Bivalvia; Ostreida; Ostreidae. The transcript has 3 exons.